Molecule: ribosomal RNA, 837 nt
Filed under: Pristimantis jaguensis
Lineage: Eukaryota; Metazoa; Chordata; Amphibia; Anura; Strabomantidae
Description: partial 16S ribosomal RNA
Rfam family: Archaeal large subunit ribosomal RNA (bases 228-837)
Source: RNAcentral
CACCUUCAAAAAAGCGUCAAAGCUUAGAUACACAUACCUUAAUUUAUUUACCCAUAUUGAACCCUUUAAUUGUACUGAGAACUUCUAUACUAUAUAGAAUUUUUUAUGCUAAAACUAGUAACAAGAGAUACCCCUCUCCCUAGUGUAAAUGUAAGUCAGCAAGAACCCAUCACUGACAACUAACAGAUUUAAACAAAAGUAGUAACUCCACAAGAAAACCCCACUUUUUCUCCUGUUAACCUAACACAAGAACACUUCAAGAAAGAUUAAAAGAAAAAGAAGGAACUCGGCAAAACCUAGCCCCGCCUGUUUACCAAAAACAUCGCCUCUUGAUUACCUCUAUAAGAGGUCUUGCCUGCCCAGUGACUCUGUUCAACGGCCGCGGUACCCUAACCGUGCGAAGGUAGCGUAAUCACUUGUUUUCUAAAUAAAGACCAGUAUGAAAGGCGUCACGAGGGUUAAACUGUCUCCUCUUUCUAAUCAGUGAACCUAAUCUUCCCGUGAAGAAGCGGGAAUUACCCCAUAAGACGAGAAGACCCUGUGGAGCUUAAAACAUCAUAACACUGCUAACAAAUACCAAUAUUCAGAUACCCCCUCCCUCAAAGCACGAUGAUUAUAAGUUUUUGGUUGGGGUGACCGCGGAGAAAAAUUAAACCUCCACUAUGAAAAGAGCCCUCCUUAACAAUAAGCUACAACCUUAUGUAUCAACAAAUUGACAUUAUUGACCCAACAAAUUGAUCAACGAACCAAGUUACCCCAGGGAUAACAGCGCAAUCCACUUUGAGAGCUCUUAUCGACAAGUGGGCUUACGACCUCGAUGUUGGAUCGGGAUAUCCU